Molecule: long non-coding RNA, 511 nt
Organism: Pelodiscus sinensis (Chinese soft-shelled turtle)
Lineage: Eukaryota; Metazoa; Chordata; Testudines; Trionychidae
Source: RefSeq, a predicted model, not a curated record
UCCAGUCAGUGGGGCUGGUGCAGGAGAGCGCUGGGCUGGGCUGUGGGGAGGGGGCUCUGUGUCGGUACAAUGAGGGGCUGGGGCCGUGUCACUCAGUCUCUCUCUCUCUCUCUGCCCACGAGGAAACGUGGCCCCGUCUCUGAUCACUCUGUCUCGCUGCUUCCAGCUAGGUCUCUGCGAAGGAAGAACAGGGAACACGUCCAGCCUGAAACCAGCAGUGCCCCACAAGAACUUUCCACUGGACAUCUUCAGUGGCCACCUGAAAUCCCUCAGUUCUGAUACCUCGGAGAUCUGGCCAGGAAACACCACGCGUCCACAGCCGCAGACAGACGAGAUACCGACAUAUGCGACCAUCAUUCCAAAGCGGGACAGGUGUCAAAUCUCCAGUUGCUGAAAGGCAGGGCUCAGCAGUGCGCAGGAACAUCACAGAACCUCCCCAAGUCAGAGGAAAAUGUAGAGGCCGUGCAGCAAGAAGGUGGAGAACCAUGUCUAGGGCCACAGAUAGACAAUG